Molecule: ribosomal RNA, 500 nt
Filed under: uncultured bacterium
Lineage: Bacteria
Description: partial 16S ribosomal RNA
Rfam family: Bacterial small subunit ribosomal RNA
Source: RNAcentral
AUUGAACGCUGGCGGAAUGCUUUACACAUGCAAGUCGAACGGCAGCACGGGGGCAACCCUGGUGGCGAGUGGCGAACGGGUGAGUAAUACAUCGGAACGUGCCCAGUCGUGGGGGAUAACGUAGCGAAAGUUACGCUAAUACCGCAUACGAUCUACGAAUGAAAGCGGGGGACCGUAAGGCCUCGCGCGAUUGGAGCGGCCGAUGUCAGAUUAGGUAGUUGGUGAGGUAAAGGCUCACCAAGCCGACGAUCUGUAGCUGGUCUGAGAGGACGACCAGCCACACUGGGACUGAGACACGGCCCAGACCCCUACGGGAGGCAGCAGUGGGGAAUUUUGGACAAUGGGCGCAAGCCUGAUCCAGCCAUUCCGCGUGCAGGACGAAGGCCUUCGGGUUGUAAACUGCUUUUGUACGGAACGAAAAGGCUCUGGUUAAUACCUGGGGCUCAUGACGGUACCGUAAGAAUAAGCACCGGCUAACUCUGUGCCAGCCGCCGCGGUAA